ACUCACUACGGAGCAAAGCUGAAUACAGUGAAAGAGCUGAAUGCUCAUGCGCAAGGACCUGACCCUUCUCCAUUAAGAAGAAGGAAAAAGUCUGAGCUGAGUUGGUCUAUUAUGUGGCUGUGUAAUUUGUCACAAGUACUGCAGUAGUACUAUGAUUCAGGCUGGUUUGAUAGACAAAAUCAAAAGACAUUUAAUGGUAGAGGCAGCAGUACUUGGAAGCUUUGCAAACAUGUGCUGAACUUGAACUAAGCAAUACUCCUUUCUGAGCAGCCAGAAGAAGGGGGUUUAAAAUAGGAUCUCUCACUGUUUAGUGUUUUGCGUUUCCCCACGCGAUUUGUCAGAGAGAAAUGAAAGCAAGCCUGAAACCAAGCAAUCG
This 376-nucleotide long non-coding RNA is filed under the name Bos taurus (domestic cattle). RNAcentral's name for it is "long non-coding RNA NONBTAT024165". Lineage: Eukaryota; Metazoa; Chordata; Mammalia; Artiodactyla; Bovidae. The record is from RNAcentral.